AGAAUAUUUUAUGAUACAAAGGAAACUUCUAAUUUCCCAUGAAGCGGUUAAAUUCCGUUUAUAUUCUA
This 68-nucleotide transfer RNA is filed under the name Neilupotamon xinganense. RNAcentral's name for it is "tRNA-Ser". Lineage: Eukaryota; Metazoa; Arthropoda; Malacostraca; Decapoda; Potamidae. The record is from RNAcentral.